This 345-nucleotide ribosomal RNA is filed under the name uncultured Lactobacillus sp. Its description in RNAcentral is "bacterial SSU rRNA". It matches the Rfam family "Bacterial small subunit ribosomal RNA", at positions 350 to 687 of the family's 1533-position model. The record is from RNAcentral. Lineage: Bacteria; Bacillati; Bacillota; Bacilli; Lactobacillales; Lactobacillaceae.
AGCAGUAGGGAAUCUUCCACAAUGGGCGCAAGCCUGAUGGAGCAACACCGCGUGAGUGAAGAAGGGUUUCGGCUCGUAAAGCUCUGUUGUUGGAGAAGAACGUGCGUGAGAGUAACUGUUCACGCAGUGACGGUAUCCAACCAGAAAGUCACGGCUAACUACGUGCCAGCAGCCGCGGUAAUACGUAGGUGGCAAGCGUUAUCCGGAUUUAUUGGGCGUAAAGCGAGCGCAGGCGGUUGCUUAGGUCUGAUGUGAAAGCCUUCGGCUUAACCGAAGAAGUGCAUCGGAAACCGGGCGACUUGAGUGCAGAAGAGGACAGUGGAACUCCAUGUGUAGCGGUGGAAU